UGCUCCUUCAAGUUUUCCUUAUUCUGGAGUUCCUGAUUUAUUAAGGAAGCUGUACCAAUCAGAGCACUCCUCUAACACUAGACUGUGAAAAAGAAAGAAAGAGGAAUGCAUCAAUCAGUUUGGGACUGAGGAUUCUAGGGAAGAAGUAUUAACUUCAUUUAACCAGUCUCCUUCUAUUACAGCAUUGACUUUGUCUCUUUGAUUUUGGUAUAUUUGCUAUACUUCAAGGAGAGAAACCUGUGUGACAGAACUUAAGAAAACAGUAGAAUAAUGGAUAAACAGUCUAAAACUUUUGGCUUUAGAACAUCAUUGCUUAUUUAACCUCACCUCUAACUAUCUGUUCCCUCUCUCUCCUCACAUGUCAGAUAAACUCCUAGGGGUCACAUCUGUUAUCUGGUUCUGGGGUGUUAAUCUCCUAGGACAAGGAAGUUAAAUAUAUAAACUAUAAUACAUUGAUCAAUAUAAUGGUUGGCUGGAGAAGUUCAAUUAAUUAAUAAAAAUUAUUAAAACUAGAAUCACUCUCCUUGUUUUAAGAAUGACACUUCCAUGGAACAUAGAUGUCUCCUUAUAUGAAGGUGGGGCUGCCUCUUGACUUGUUUCCUACUUCCAGAUUUCCUUUUUAACCAUGGCAGGAAGACUGGGAUUGUGACAAGAGGAAGUGGAAACACAGAAGAACAUUUAAUAGCAAAGAAUGGUUCUGCUCUGCACAGUACUGUCCUGCAUGAGGAACUGUCAGUGAUUAUGUUGUGGAUAUUACAUAUGAAAAUGGAAGAAAACAACAAUUUCUUUCACACUCAAAUGCAGAGAUGAAAGGAAAGGUCUAGUUGCAGUAACCUUUGC
This 840-nucleotide long non-coding RNA is filed under the name Corvus moneduloides (New Caledonian crow). Its description in RNAcentral is "lncRNA (ENSCMUG00000016937.1)". Lineage: Eukaryota; Metazoa; Chordata; Aves; Passeriformes; Corvidae. The record is from RNAcentral.